Cyanistes caeruleus (blue tit) is the source of this 1358-nucleotide long non-coding RNA. RefSeq lists it as uncharacterized. The record is from RefSeq and is a predicted model, not a curated record. NCBI's taxonomy places the organism in Eukaryota, Metazoa, Chordata, Aves, Passeriformes, Paridae.
CAUUCCCACUGCAGCGAUGACAACUUGCUGAUGUGCCUCUGGUUUCUGACUCCAAGCAAGAUGGAAAGGACGGAAAAGGGAAACCAGGAAAGCUGCUACAGCACCCAGAGCAAACACUUUAGAGUCAGCCCAGACUGUCUGCUGGCAAUAUAACAGAUGCACUUGAAACUCAGCUACAAGGGCACUUUUUCCAUCAAAGUCAAAUGAAGGCUCAUCAAAGGGUGGGACAUAAGAUGUAGCCUUCAAAGGACACUCCACUCCUUGCAGCAAUCUGUUGGUCUUGCCACCGCCCAUUCCCUUGGUGGAUUUUUCAGGAUUUGCGUCACUGCUCCAGAGAGUUAACAGCACUCCUCACAGCUUGAUGCAGAAUAUCAGCUGUAGCCAGAGAAAAGCAGAGUACUGCAAACACAGGUCUUGGCAGCAAAGGGAAGAGAGAACUAUCAACCAAAAACUUUCAUAUUGCUUUUACUUGUAACUUUUUAGUCCACCCAGCAAUUUGUUCCACAAAAGACUACCAACCAGAGUUUCACUAACAUUUACUUAAAGAAGAGCUGCAGGGAAAGCACUUACAAUUUACCUAUCUGUGUAGUUGUAACAUAGUGUAGAAGCAUUGUCUUCACAUGGAGAAAUGAAGAAAAUCAAUUGCAGUUCCCAAAAGGCAGAUGUAUUGGUUGAGAAGAUCACAAAAUACUUGCAGUUGCUCAGUAGACUUGGAACCAGAUCCCCUCUGCACUGCAUCGCUGCUCAGCUCUACACUGAAAGAGGGAAGAAAGGGGACUCAUGCUCUAGGGAAAAGCUCUUUAUGCUCCUCAAAUGGCUCUUAUCAAGUGCAGAAGAAAGAAGGGACGGAGGCAUUUGUCAUGCCCAAAGAGGCAUAUUCUGUUUGUAUCAUCGACGGGCACAUACAGAGGAUUACUGUGGUCCACGUUGCUGCACACAAGCGUGCUUGUAGCUCCUACUCAGGAGAAACGGGCUGAAAGCUGUCCAGCCUUUACAGAAAACAUUACUGUUGCUGUGCUGUCAAGGUCACUGUCAGCCUGGGUUAUCUGCUGUGUAAGUGCUAGCCUUACAAAUCAGGCUUAGCUAAGGGCUGUAAUUCAUACACUCAGCGUUUUGUGGAUUAUGUCCUUUAGCUUUCCCUCAUUGCCACUUUGGAUAUUCAUUUAGCUCCAGUGUGUGACUCCUGCAAUUUCUCUUUGGGGUAAUUUCCCCAACACACAGUGUUUCCCUGUACAUUUCUUAAUCACAAAUGUACAAACCCACUCUGUACGAGUAAUUUUAUAUACAAUGCUUGUUGAUAUCUUUGAACACAGAUGAGUUCACUGUUGGAUAAAACAGUGGAAAAAUGCAGGCCACAA